Molecule: ribosomal RNA, 705 nt
Filed under: Lambiella insularis
Lineage: Eukaryota; Fungi; Ascomycota; Lecanoromycetes; Baeomycetales; Xylographaceae
Description: bacterial SSU rRNA
Rfam family: Eukaryotic small subunit ribosomal RNA (bases 1-539)
Source: RNAcentral
CAGUUAUCGUUUAUUUGAUAGUACCUCACUACAUGGAUAACCGUGGUAAUUCUAGAGCUAAUACAUGCUAAAAACCUCAACUUCGGAAGGGGUGUAUUUAUUAGAUAAAAAACCAAUGCCCUUCGGGGCUCCUUGGUGAUUCAUAAUAACUUAACGAAUCGCAUGGCCUUGCGCCGGCGAUGGUUCAUUCAAAUUUCUGCCCUAUCAACUUUCGAUUGUAUGGUUUUGGCAUACAAUGGUGGCAACGGGUAACGGGGAAUUAGGUUAGUUUGUUACUUUACCCACUAAAUAGAUUUGCCUCGUCGCUAAUAUUUGUCUACAGGGUUCGAUUCCGGAGAGGGAGCCUGAGAAACGGCUACCACAUCCAAGGAAGGCAGCAGGCGCGCAAAUUACCCAAUCCCGACACGGGGAGGUAGUGACAAUACGUAUCGAUCGUGGGCUCUUUUGGGUCUACGAAUUGAAAUGAGUACAAUUUAAAUCCCUUAACGAGGAACAAUUGGAGGGCAAGUCUGGUGAAACAGCUGGCGCCAGACCCAGAAUAGGUGAGCAGCCCCUCGGGGCUGCUUGCAGGCAUCCGGUACGGGGAAAAGCUUCAGGGCUUUACCCCGUGGCGAGGGGAACCCCCCGCCGUAACGCAUGGAAAGAUGCCGGUGACCUUUAGGGGUCGCUUGAGGGACAUGCUAUGCGAAUCCGACGAGGAUUAUU